CAGCUCGUGGGUCACCAUGGCCAGGAACUCGUCCUUGGUGCGGGCCAGUUCGAUGGCGAGCUCCUCGGCACGGCGCCGUUCCAGGUACUGCCCGAGCUGG
This 100-nucleotide transfer RNA is filed under the name Actinoplanes teichomyceticus. RNAcentral describes it as "tRNA-Thr". Lineage: Bacteria; Bacillati; Actinomycetota; Actinomycetes; Micromonosporales; Micromonosporaceae. The record is from RNAcentral.